CCUACGGGGGGCUGCAGUGGGGAAUAUUGCGCAAUGGGCGAAAGCCUGACGCAGCGACGCCGCGUGAGGGAUGAAGGUCCUCGGAUCGUAAACCUCUGUCUGCAUGGAAGUACGGUCACUGUGCUAAUCAGCAGUGAAUUGACGGUAUCUGCAAAGGAAGCACCGGCUAACUCCGUGCCAGCCGCUGCGGUAAUACGGAGGGUGCGAGCGUUAAUCGGAAUUACUGGGCGUAAAGCGCUCGUAGGCGGUAUGUCAAGUCAAGGGUGAAAUCCCCGCGCUCAACGUGGGAACUGCCUUUGAAACUGGCAGACUGGAGUGUGUGAGAGGAUAGUGGAAUUCGAGGUGUAGGAGUGAAAUCCGUAGAUAUCUGGAGGAACAUCAGUGGCGAAGGCGACUAUCUGGCACAUAACUGACGCUGAGGAGCGAAAGCGUGGGUAGCAAACAGGAUUAGAUACCCUUGUAGUC
RNAcentral lists this ribosomal RNA (465 nucleotides) under uncultured bacterium. RNAcentral describes it as "partial 16S ribosomal RNA". It matches the Rfam family "Bacterial small subunit ribosomal RNA", at positions 338 to 795 of the family's 1533-position model. The record is from RNAcentral.